AUCUGACUAUGAUAACGAUUUUAGUCCUUUUAAUGUUUUCCUUAUUUUUCCUUUUCAUUCGUCUCUUCUAAAUAUUUUUGUUGUGAGUUACGACUAUUUCAGUCAAGCUUAAUUUGAAGGAUAUGAAGCAAAACCUACUCUAAAUAAAAGUAAUAUUUCAAUCUAUAAAAGAUAUGUCUAUUAAUAUAGAUUUUUUGUCCUUUAUGUCCCAAGUCAUUGGUGAGUGUUCGAAUUAUCUAGGUUAGCUCAUUUUUAAUUUUUUAAUUUUAAAAAAUGUUUCUUUAACAUGAGUCUACAAUACAACAUUCUAAUUUAUGUGUACUUUCAUAAUGUAACAAUCAUAAAUAAAUAUUCCUAAAAAGUCGUAAAGUUGCAUUGAUGAAGAAUCCGGAAGGGCCUUCUAAAGUUUAAUGAAGAAUGAAUUUCUAAAGGGCAACAAUAUUAUUUUGUUGUUGUUCAAAA
RNAcentral lists this unclassified non-coding RNA (462 nucleotides) under Hevea brasiliensis (rubber tree). The record is from RNAcentral. Lineage: Eukaryota; Viridiplantae; Streptophyta; Magnoliopsida; Malpighiales; Euphorbiaceae.